RNAcentral lists this unclassified non-coding RNA (378 nucleotides) under plant metagenome. RNAcentral's name for it is "partial contains 5.8S ribosomal RNA, internal transcribed spacer 2, and large subunit ribosomal RNA". The stretch from base 1 to 105 matches the Rfam family "5.8S ribosomal RNA", at positions 50 to 154 of the family's 154-position model. The record is from RNAcentral.
GAAAUGCGAUAAGUAAUGUGAAUUGCAGAAUUCAGUGAAUCAUCGAAUCUUUGAACGCACCUUGCGCUCCUUGGUAUUCCUUGGAGCAUGCCUGUUUGAGUAUCAUGAAAUCUUCAAAGUAAAUCUUUUGUUAACUCAAUUGGUUUCUACUUUGGUAUUGGAGGUCUUUGCAGCUUCACACCUGCUCCUCUUUGUUCAUUAGCUGGAUCUCAGUGUUAUGCUUGGUUCCACUCGGCGUGAUAAGUUAUCUAUCGCUGAGGACACUGUAAAAGGUGGCCAAGGUAAAUGCAGAUGAACCGCUUCUAAUAGUCCAUUGACUUGGACAAUACUUUUAUGAUCUGAUCUCAAAUCUGGUAGGACUACCCGCUGAACUUAAGC